RNAcentral lists this transfer RNA (77 nucleotides) under Candidatus Saccharimonadota bacterium. RNAcentral describes it as "tRNA-Val". It matches the Rfam family "tRNA". From Rfam's summary of the family: Transfer RNA (tRNA) molecules are approximately 80 nucleotides in length. Their secondary structure includes four short double-helical elements and three loops (D, anti-codon, and T loops). Lineage: Bacteria; Candidatus Saccharimonadota. The record is from RNAcentral.
GGGUUCUUAGCUCAGUUGGCUAGAGCGCUACAUUGACGUUGUAGAGGUCAGAGGUUCAAAUCCUCUAGAACCCACCA